RNAcentral lists this ribosomal RNA (443 nucleotides) under uncultured fungus. Its description in RNAcentral is "bacterial SSU rRNA". It matches the Rfam family "Eukaryotic small subunit ribosomal RNA", at positions 793 to 1236 of the family's 1831-position model. The record is from RNAcentral. Lineage: Eukaryota; Fungi.
GGGAUCCGAUUUUAGCAUGGAAUAAUAAAAUAGGACGUGUGGUUCUAUUUUGUUGGUUUCUAGGACCUUAGUAAUGAUUGAUAGGGAUAGUUGGGGGUGCUAGUAUUCAGCGGCCAGAGGUGAAAUUCUUGGAUUCGCUGAAGACUAACUACUGCGAAAGCAUUCACCAAGGAUGUCUUCUUUAAUCAAGAACGAAAGUUGGGGGAUCGAAGACGAUCAGAUACCGUCGUAGUCUCAACCAUAAACUAUACCGACUAAGGAUCAGCGGGCGUCUCUUUUUGACCCCGUUGGCACUUUAUGAGAAAUCAAAGUCUUUGGGUUCCGGGGGGAGUAUGGUCGCAAGGCUGAAACUUAAAGGAAUUGACGGAAGGGCACCACCAGGAGUGGAGCCCGCGGCUUAAUUUGACUCAACACGGGAAACUCACCAGGUCCAGAAAUCUAGA